CAGCAGCCGCGGUAAUACGGAGGGUGCAAGCGUUAUCCGGAUUCACUGGGUUUAAAGGGUGCGUAGGCGGGCAUGUAAGUCAGUGGUGAAAUCUCGGAGCUUAACUCCGAAACUGCCAUUGAUACUAUAUUUCUUGAAUAUUGUGGAGGUUUGCGGAAUAUGUCAUGUAGCGGUGAAAUGCUUAGAUAUGACAUAGAACACCUAUUGCGAAGGCAGCAGGCUACACAUAUAUUGACGCUGAGGCACGAAAGCGUGGGGAUCAAACAGGAUUAGAUACCCUGGUAGUCCACGCCCUAAACGAUGGAUACUCGACAUACGCGAUACACUGUGUGUGUCUGAGCGAAAGCAUUAAGUAUCCCACCUGGGAAGUACGACCGCAGGGUUGAAACUUAAAGGAAUUGGCGG
This 405-nucleotide ribosomal RNA is filed under the name uncultured rumen bacterium. RNAcentral's name for it is "bacterial SSU rRNA". It matches the Rfam family "Bacterial small subunit ribosomal RNA", at positions 509 to 916 of the family's 1533-position model. The record is from RNAcentral.